Sander lucioperca (pikeperch) is the source of this 219-nucleotide long non-coding RNA. RefSeq lists it as uncharacterized. The transcript has 3 exons. Lineage: Eukaryota; Metazoa; Chordata; Actinopteri; Perciformes; Percidae. The record is from RefSeq and is a predicted model, not a curated record.
UGGUUCCUGGCAGGGGAAUAUGAUUUUAUCCAGUUGAGAGCUUGCUCAGAGAAAUUAAAAUAUGUUAAUUUAGAUAAAAGAACUUCAUGAUUAACAGUAUCAAAAGCUCGCUUUAGGUCUAGGAAGACAGCACCAACAUAAGAACUCUUAUCUAAGUAUCCUUUAACCUUUUCCAAAAACAAACAGUUGGCUGUUUCUGUUGAGUGUUGGGCCCUGAAC